Molecule: ribosomal RNA, 253 nt
Filed under: uncultured bacterium
Lineage: Bacteria
Description: partial 16S ribosomal RNA
Rfam family: Bacterial small subunit ribosomal RNA
Source: RNAcentral
CGGGUGAGUAACACGUAUGCAACCUGCCUGCCACAGCCGGAUAAUCGGGAGAAAUCCCGUCUAAUACGGCAUAAUGCAUCGACGGGACAUCCUGUUGGUGCCAAAGGUUGAUUCCGGUGGCGGAUGGGCAUGCGUCGCAUUAGUUAGUUGGCGGUGUAACGGACCACCAAGACGACGAUGCGUAGGGGUUCUGAGAGGAAGGUCCCCCACACUGGUACUGAGACACGGACCAGACUCCUACGGGAGGCAGCAG